AUUUAUUUUGGCCCUACAAACCAUAUGGUGAGACCAUUCCUUUUGUGUCAAUUUCAUUUCUCUUUGAUUUUUUAUUAAUUCAUUAAGAAAAAAAAUGGUUAUACAUGAUGCACUUCUUUCACUUUGUUUUUCUUUCCCCCAAUGGUCAUUCUGAUUUAUGAAUGCCAUGACUAUUUGUAGGAUGCUGGAAUAUACGAAGCUGUUGCAAGAAGUGACUUUGUCAUUACUAGAGUUGCAUUUCGAGACAACUCUUUAAAGUGCUACAUAAAUGACCGUGGAAGUAAUUUUACAGAGGUCACUAAGAAAUCGAAAGGAAAAGGAGUGGACUUAGACAACAAUCGGUUUUUGAUUCUUCAGGGUGAAGUCGAACAAAUUUCUCUAAUGAAGCCAAAGAUUUGUAUUUUCAGCAUUAUUGUAAUUGUAAUUGUAAUUGAUUAAAUGAAGGAUUGUAAUUGAUUGUAAUUGUAAUUGAUUGAAUGAAGGAUUGUAAUUGAUUGUAAUUAAAUGAAUGAAUGAUUGUAAUUGA
Long non-coding RNA from Magnolia sinica, 526 nucleotides. RefSeq lists it as uncharacterized. The record is from RefSeq and is a predicted model, not a curated record. Lineage: Eukaryota; Viridiplantae; Streptophyta; Magnoliopsida; Magnoliales; Magnoliaceae. The transcript has 2 exons.